Molecule: ribosomal RNA, 253 nt
Filed under: uncultured bacterium
Lineage: Bacteria
Description: partial 16S ribosomal RNA
Rfam family: Bacterial small subunit ribosomal RNA
Source: RNAcentral
UACGAAGGGGGCUAGCGUUGCUCGGAAUUACUGGGCGUAAAGCGCACGUAGGCGGCUCUUUAAGUCGGGGGUGAAAUCCUGGAGCUCAACUCCAGAACUGCCUUCGAUACUGAAGAGCUUGAGUCCGGGAGAGGUGAGUGGAACUGCGAGUGUAGAGGUGAAAUUCGUAGAUAUACGCAAGAACACCAGUGGCGAAGGCGGCUCACUGGCCCGGUACUGACGCUGAGACGCGAAAGCGUGGGGAGCAAACAGG